AAGACUAUACUUUCAGGGAUUAUUUCUAUAGUGUCUGACUUGAGAAAUGUGUUUCUAGAGUGUUUGGUCUCGUUAACCACGAUGAUGAGUUGUGAUAUUUCUUUCUGAGCGUGAAGCUGACACAGAAUAAUGAUUCACUUCAUGUGUUCUCUGUCAUUGAUGACCGUUCAUUGUUUCCUAGAGGAGCAUUGAGGAAAGGAAUAUGAUCAGAGUGGUG
This is a small nucleolar RNA of Dicentrarchus labrax (European seabass), 217 nucleotides long. The record is from Ensembl. NCBI's taxonomy places the organism in Eukaryota, Metazoa, Chordata, Actinopteri, Moronidae.